AUGUUAGCGGCGGACGGGUGAGUAACACGUGGAUAACCUACCUAUAAGACUGGGAUAACUUCGGGAAACCGGAGCUAAUACCGGAUAAUAUUUUGAACCGCAUGGUUCAAAAGUGAAAGACGGUCUUGCUGUCACUUAUAGAUGGAUCCGCGCUGCAUUAGCUAGUUGGUAAGGUAACGGCUUACCAAGGCAACGAUGCAUAGCCGACCUGAGAGGGUGAUCGGCCACACUGGAACUGAGACACGGUCCAGACUCCUACGGGAGGCAGCAGUAGGGAAUCUUCCGCAAUGGGCGAAAGCCUGACGGAGCAACGCCGCGUGAGUGAUGAAGGUCUUCGGAUCGUAAAACUCUGUUAUUAGGGAAGAACAUAUGUGUAAGUAACUGUGCACAUCUUGACGGUACCUAAUCAGAAAGCCACGGCUAACUACGUGCCAGCAGCCGCGGUAAUACGUAGGUGGCAAGCGUUAUCCGGAAUUAUUGGGCGUAAAGCGCGCGUAGGCGGUUUUUUAAGUCUGAUGUGAAAGCCCACGGCUCAACCGUGGAGGGUCAUUGGAAACUGGAAAACUUGAGUGCAGAAGAGGAAAGUGGAAUUCCAUGUGUAGCGGUGAAAUGCGCAGAGAUAUGGAGGAACACCAGUGGCGAAGGCGACUUUCUGGUCUGUAACUGACGCUGAUGUGCGAAAGCGUGGGGAUCAAACAGGAUUAGAUACCCUGGUAGUCCACGCCGUAAACGAUGAGUGCUAAGUGUUAGGGGGUUUCCGCCCCUUAGUGCUGCAGCUAACGCAUUAAGCACUCCGCCUGGGGAGUACGACCGCAAGGUUGAAACUCAAAGGAAUUGACGGGGACCCGCACAAGCGGUGGAGCAUGUGGUUUAAUUCGAAGCAACGCGAAGAACCUUACCAAAUCUUGACAUCCUUUGACAACUCUAGAGAUAGAGC
RNAcentral lists this ribosomal RNA (937 nucleotides) under Staphylococcus aureus. Its description in RNAcentral is "bacterial SSU rRNA". It matches the Rfam family "Bacterial small subunit ribosomal RNA", at positions 89 to 1012 of the family's 1533-position model. Lineage: Bacteria; Bacillati; Bacillota; Bacilli; Caryophanales; Staphylococcaceae. The record is from RNAcentral.